UGAUAAUGGCUGCCCUGAUGCG
Molecule: unclassified non-coding RNA, 22 nt
Filed under: Mus musculus (house mouse)
Lineage: Eukaryota; Metazoa; Chordata; Mammalia; Rodentia; Muridae
Description: oocyte_clustered_small_RNA1785
Source: RNAcentral